This is a non-coding RNA of Claviceps africana, 85 nucleotides long. Lineage: Eukaryota; Fungi; Ascomycota; Sordariomycetes; Hypocreales; Clavicipitaceae. The record is from the annotation of a GenBank genome assembly.
GGGCGAAUGGUUUAGUGGUAUAAUACUCCCUUAGCAUAGUUCAAUUAUUUGGGAGUGGUCCAGGGUUCGAUUCCCUGUUCGUCCA